RNAcentral lists this ribosomal RNA (253 nucleotides) under uncultured bacterium. RNAcentral describes it as "partial 16S ribosomal RNA". It matches the Rfam family "Bacterial small subunit ribosomal RNA", at positions 524 to 776 of the family's 1533-position model. The record is from RNAcentral.
UACAGAGGGGGCAAGCGUUGUUCGGAAUUAUUGGGCGUAAAGGGCUCGUAGGCGGUUUGUCGCGUCGGGAGUGAAAACUCAGGGCUUAACCCUGAGCCUGCUUCCGAUACGGGCAGACUAGAGGUAUGCAGGGGAGAACGGAAUUCCUGGUGUAGCGGUGAAAUGCGCAGAUAUCAGGAGGAACACCGGUGGCGAAGGCGGUUCUCUGGGCAUGACCUGACGCUGAGGCACGAAAGCGUGGGGAGCAAACAGG